CGCCAAUCAGCUAGCCCAAAAACUAAUUUCAGCAAACCCACAUUACUAAACCCCAAUCCACUACAUCAUCCCAAAUAAAACAUUCCCCCUCCCCAGUAUAGGUGAUAGAAAAGGAAAUAUUGGAGCAAUAGAAAAAGUACCGCAAGGGAAAGCUGAAAGAGAGGUGAAAUAGUCCAGUAAAGCUUAACAAAGCAGAGUUACACCCUCGUACCUUUUGCAUCAUGAAUUAGCUAGUAAAACUAAGCAAAGAGCACUUAAGUUUAGCACCCCGAAACUAGGUGAGCUACUUCAAGACAGCCUAUCAUAGGGCAAACCCGUCUCUGUGGCAAAAGAGUGGGAAGAGCUUCAAGUAGCGGUGACAGACCUACCGAACCUAGUUAUAGCUGGUUACCUGAGAAAUGGAUAUAAGUUCAGCCCCGUAAUUUUUUCUGUUCAUAUCCUUGAAAUAUCCAAUGAUAAUGAGAAGUUACAGGAGUUAGUCAAAAGAGGUACAGCCCUUUUGAUUUAAGAUACAACUUUGCAAGCAGGGUAAAGAUCAUGUUUUUGAAGGUAAAAUGUUCUGGUGGGCCUAAAAGCAGCCACCCUCACAGAAAGCGUUAUAGCUCAGACAUAAUAGUAACCUUAAAUUAAGAUAAUUAAUUCCGAACCCACUAACCAUAACAGGUCCUCCCAUGCCCACAUGGGAAUGAUAAUGCUAAUAUGAGUAAUAAGAGGUACAUUUACGACCUCUCCCCGCCCACGUGUAUGUCGGAACGGACCCGCCACCGAUUAUUAACGUCCCCAAAUUAAGAGGGUAUUAAUCACUGUUUAGAACUACUAGAAGACCGUUUAAGAAGAAACGUUAACCCCACACUGGUGAGCACCCAGGGAAAGACUAUAAGAGCGAGAAGGAACUCGGCAAACACAUAAAGCCUCGCCUGUUUACCAAAAACAUCGCCUCUUGCAAAGCCAAAGAAUAAGAGGUCGCGCCUGCCCAGUGACAACUAGUUUAACGGCCGCGGUAUUUUGACCGUGCUAAGGUAGCGUAAUCACUUGUCUUUUAAAUGAAGACCUGUAUGAAUGGUAUGACGAGGGCUUGACUGUCUCCUCACUCCAGUCAAUGAAAUUGAUCUCCCCGUGCAGAAGCGGGGAUAAAAACAUAAGACGAGAAGACCCUAUGGAGCUUUAGACGCUAGAAUAGACCAUGUUAAAGAAUACAGGUUAAAGUACAAAACCUAAUGAGUAUACUAUUCCUAUGUUUUCGGUUGGGGCGACCAUGGGGAAAUACAAAACCCCCACGUGGAAUGAGAGAACUCCUCCCCUUAAUAGCUCUCUCACAAACACAGAGUUACAUCUCUAAUUACCAGAAUUUCUGACCAGCUAUGAUCCGGCAACGCCGAUCAACGGACCAAGUUACCCUAGGGAUAACAGCGCAAUCCCCUUUUAGAGCCCUUAUCAACGAGGGGGUUUACGACCUCGAUGUUGGAUCAGGACAUCCUAAUGGUGUAGCCGCUAUUAAGGGUUCGUUUGUUCAACGAUUAAAGUCCUACGUGAUCUGAGUUCAGACCGGAGUAAUCCAGGUCAGUUUCUAUCUAUGAAAUAAUCUUUUCUAGUACGAAAGGACCGAAAAGAAGAGGCCACUGCCUAAGCACGCCUCACCCUUACCUAAUGAAAACAUCUAAAUUAGGCAAAAGGGUAUGUAAUUACUGCCUGAGAUUAAGGUAU
This 1704-nucleotide ribosomal RNA is filed under the name Remora brachyptera (spearfish remora). Its description in RNAcentral is "16S ribosomal RNA". It matches the Rfam family "Bacterial large subunit ribosomal RNA". The record is from RNAcentral. Lineage: Eukaryota; Metazoa; Chordata; Actinopteri; Carangiformes; Echeneidae.